RNAcentral lists this ribosomal RNA (497 nucleotides) under uncultured bacterium. Its description in RNAcentral is "partial 16S ribosomal RNA". It matches the Rfam family "Bacterial small subunit ribosomal RNA", at positions 28 to 507 of the family's 1533-position model. The record is from RNAcentral.
GAUGAACGCUGGCGGCGUGCCUAAUACAUGCAAGUCGAGCGAACGGACGAGAAGCUUGCUUCUCUGAUGUUAGCGGCGGACGGGUGAGUAACACGUGGAUAACCUACCUAUAAGACUGGGAUAACUUCGGGAAACCGGAGCUAAUACCGGAUGAUAUUUUGAACCGCAUGGUUCAAAAGUGAAAGACGGUCUUGCUGUCACUUAUAGAUGGAUCCGCGCUGCAUUAGCUAGUUGGUAAGGUAAUGGCUUACCAAGGCAACGAUGCAUAGCCGACCUGAGAGGGUGAUCGGCCGCCCUGGAACUGAGACGCGGUCCAGACUCCUACGGGAGGCAGCAGUAGGGAAUCUUCCGCAAUGGGCGAAAGCCUGACGGAGCAACGCCGCGUGAGUGAUGAAGGUCUUCGGAUCGUAAAACUCUGUUAUUAGGGAAGAACAUAUGUGUACGUAACUGUGCACAUCUUGACGGUACCUAAUCAGAAAGCCACGGCUAACUACGUG